Molecule: non-coding RNA, 64 nt
Organism: Dermacentor silvarum
Lineage: Eukaryota; Metazoa; Arthropoda; Arachnida; Ixodida; Ixodidae
Source: the annotation of a RefSeq genome assembly
AGUAACAUGCCUGAAUUUAGGGUCAUCUUGUUAGGAUAAAAUAUGUAUAUUUAUAUUUUUACUA